Molecule: ribosomal RNA, 1254 nt
Filed under: Triticum aestivum (bread wheat)
Lineage: Eukaryota; Viridiplantae; Streptophyta; Magnoliopsida; Poales; Poaceae
Description: partial small subunit ribosomal RNA
Source: RNAcentral
GUCAGCAAGUUCACCGGUGAGUCUAAGCCUGUAACUUGGCUUGAGGACUACCGAGUGGCGGUUCAGAUUGGUGAUGGGAAUGACGAGGUGGCCAUGAAGCAUUUGCCCCUCAUGUUGGAAGGUUCUGCCAGAGCGUGGUUGACUCAGUUACCUCCUAGCAGCAUUUACACUUGGGAAGAUCUGUCCCGAGUGUUCGUCAGAACGUUUGAAGGAACUUGCAAGCGACCGGCUGGAUUGAUGGAGCUGCAAGUCUGCGUGCAGAAGACCAAUGAGACUCUCAGGGAGUAUAUUCAGAGAUGGAUCACUUUGCACCAUACUGUGGAGAAUGUGUCUGAUCAUCAGGCAGUCUGCGCCUUCAAGGAUGGUGUCAAGAACAGAGAAUUGAGUUUGAAAUUUGGUCGAACCGGAGACAUGACCUUGAGUCGGAUGAUGGAAAUUGCUACCAAGUACGCCAACGGCGAAGAAGAAGACCGACUCCGAAGCGGCAAGCACAAGCCGAGCCAGUCGGAGAAGGGAAACACCAGUCGGAAACAGAAGCGGAAGGCUGAACCGGCAGCUCCUGGAGAGGCUCUGGCCGUGACUCAUGGAAAGUUUAAAGGGAAACCAAAAGGAUCCUGGAACCCUAAGAAGGUAAAGGAUAAAGAAGGGAACGACGUGAUGGAUAUGCCGUGUCACAUCCACACGAAGAAAGACGAAGAGGGGAAUAUCAUUUACCCAAAGCAUACCACUCGCCAAUGUCGACUCCUGAUCCAGCAGUUUCAAGGGAAACAGUCUAAAGACAAGGAAAAGGAGUCGAACAAGGCCGAAGACAAGGAGGACAGUGAGGAAGGAUAUCCACAUGUCAACUCCACUCUGAUGAUCUUUGCAGAUGUGGAAAGCAAGAGUCGAUUGAAAGUCAUUAACCGCGAGGUGAACAUGGUUACCCCAGCAAAAGCAAAUUAUCUGAAAUGGUCCCAAACACCCAUCACAUUCGACCAAUCUGAUCACCCGACUCAUAUUGCCACCCCUGGGAGGCGAGCUUUGGUGGUCGAUCCAGUUGUCGAAGGCACUCGACUGACAAAAGUGCUGAUGGACGGUGGUAGCGGGCUGAAUUUGUUGUAUGCAGACACACUGAAAGGAAUGGGCAUUCCGAUGUCCCGACUGAGCACCAGUAACAUGAGCUUUCAUGGAGUUAUACCAGGGAAGAAAGCCGAGUCACUCGGCCAAAUAGCUCUGGACGUGGUGUUUGGUGAUUCGAAACAUUUUCACAAAGAG